AUUGAACGCUGGCGGCAUGCUUUACACAUGCAAGUCGAACGGUAACAGGUUAAGCUGACGAGUGGCGAACGGGUGAGUAAUGCAUCGGAACGUGCCCGGUCGUGGGGGAUAACGCAGCGAAAGCUGCGCUAAUACCGCAUACGAUCUGAGGAUGAAAGCGGGGGACCGUAAGGCCUCGCGCGAUCGGAGCGGCCGAUGUCAGAUUAGGUAGUUGGUGGGGUAAAGGCUCACCAAGCCAACGAUCUGUAGCUGGUCUGAGAGGACGACCAGCCACACUGGGAUUGAGAAACGGCCCAGACUCCUACGGGAGGCAGCAGUGGGGAAUUUUGGACAAUGGGCGAAAGCCUGAUCCAGCAAUGCCGCGUGCAGGAAGAAGGCCUUCGGGUUGUAAACUGCUUUUGUACGGAGCGAAAAGGUCUCCUCUAAUACAGGGGGCUCAUGACGGUACCGUAAGAAUAAGCACCGGCUAACUACGUGCCAGCAGCCGCGGUAA
This 493-nucleotide ribosomal RNA is filed under the name uncultured bacterium. RNAcentral describes it as "partial 16S ribosomal RNA". It matches the Rfam family "Bacterial small subunit ribosomal RNA", at positions 30 to 523 of the family's 1533-position model. The record is from RNAcentral.